UUGUGUUUGUGUGCACAUAAAUGCAUGAGUUGUUGUUUUUUUGUCACAGGAAAUAGUGUUAAAUUGUGGACCGUGUGGUCAAACAUGAUUAUAUAGUCAGUAUCUGUUUUUACAAUUUACAAUCGUAGUUAUGUAAAUUAUAUACAGUGGACGAUUUUACCAUCUCUGCAUUGCUAAUUGACUAAUUUGGCUCUUAAGUUAAAAAGCAAUGCUUUAACGUAUG
This is a long non-coding RNA of Stegastes partitus (bicolor damselfish), 223 nucleotides long. RefSeq lists it as uncharacterized. The record is from RefSeq and is a predicted model, not a curated record. The transcript has 2 exons. NCBI's taxonomy places the organism in Eukaryota, Metazoa, Chordata, Actinopteri, Pomacentridae.